CUCUUAUCUCUGAAAUUCCUGCGAAUUGCUUUGGUCUAGUGCUUGUUUUAAUUUGAAUUUAAAUCGUUGUUUGCCAUUCUGUUUACUUUUUAGUUUUCGAAACAAACCAUCUUUCGUCUUAGCUUUAAUUCAAUCCUCACAAAUUCAUAGAGUAACACUGGUCCUCUGGAUUUCGAAUCCUUUAUAUUACAUCUACAUCACUGUUCUAUUGCAGCACAAACUAGGAGUAUAUCUAGUGAGAAUCAGUACAUAUGGAUUCAAUCCAUUUAGCAUGUCUCGUAAUCAUUCGUUAUGGCCUGUGAUCUUGACUCCUUAUAAUUUACCCCCUGGUAUGUGCAUGAAGACUGAGUACUUGUUCCUCACAAUACUGAAUUCUGGGCCAAAUCAUCCGCAUGCUAGUCUCGAUAUCUUCCUCCGGCCUCUUGUCGAGGAAUUAAAAGAAUUAUGGUCAACUGGGAUCAAUGCAUACGAUGUCUCUUUGCAGCAGAAUUUCAAAUUAAAGCCUGUGCUGAUGUGGACGAUAAGCGACUUUCCCGCGUAUGGCAUGUUGUCAGGAUGGACGACCCAUGGUAGAUUGGCUUGUCCAAUUUGUUUGGACGAUACAAAGGCAUUCUAUCUGCCUAAUGGAAGAAAGACGUGUUGGUUUGAUUGUCAUAGAAGGUUUCUCCCUCAUGGUCAUCCAUUACGAAAGAAUAGAAAAGACUUUUUGAAGGGUAGACAAGCUAUAAAUGAGUCACCACCAGAGUCUUUGACAAGUGAACAAGUUUAUAGUGAGCGCAUCGAAACUGUCAAUCCUGCAAAAACGUCUGACUGCGGUGGCAGCGAUCAUGAAAAAAAGAUGCCUGGAUAUGGGAAGUGGCAUAACUGGCACAAAGAAAGUAUAUUUUGGGAGUUGCCUUACUGGAGGAACCUCAAUCUCAAUCUUGAUGUGAUGCAUAUAGAGAAGAAUUUCUUUGAUAACAUCAUGAAUACUCUAAUGAGCGUGACGGGUAAAUAGAAAGACACUAUAAAGUCAAGAUUGGAUAUAGAAAGAUUCUGUGAUUGGGCACACUUGCAUCUUGAUAAAAAUGGGCAAGCUCCUUUUCCGGUAUACACAUUGGAAGAAGCUGAAAAAAGAAGAUUAUUGGAAUGUGUGAAAGCAGUACAAUUCCCAGACGGUUAUGCGUCAGACUUAGCUGCUUGUGUUGAUAUUGAAAAAGGAAAGCUUGCUGGCAUGAAGAGUCAUGACUGCCAUGUUUUUAUGGAACGGCUACUUCCAUUUAUCUUUGCAGAACUCUUGGACCGUACCGUCCACCUUGCAUUAUCAGGUGUUGGAGAAUUCUUUCGUGACUUAUGUUCAAGAACUUUGCAAAAAAACAGGGUCCAAAUCCUAAAACAAAACAUAGUCCUAAUCUUAUGCAAUUUGGAGAAGAUUUUUCCACCAUCAUUUUUCGACGUAAUGGAGCACUUGCCUAUACAUCUUCCUUAUGAAGCUGAUUUAGGAGGUCCUGUGCAGUAUAGGUGGAUGUAUCAUUUUGAAAGGUUUUUCAAAAAACUGAAAGCAAAAGCGAAGAACAAAAGAUAUGCAUCAGGAUCGAUUGUUGAAUCAUAUAUCAACGAUGAAACUGCUUAUUUUACGGAGCGCUACUUUUCCGAUCAUAUACAAACAAAAUCAAGGUUAACAAGAUUUGACGAAGGUGAAGUCCCUGUAUAUGAUGUCCCCGGAGUUCCUGAUAUAUUUACUCACGUAGGUCGGCCAAGUGGGCAAAUGCAUGAAAUAUGGCUUUCAGAAAAAGAUCACAAAAUUGCACAUGCAUAUAUUUUUGCGAAAUUGCGAUUACUUUCAACCAUUUGAGAGGAUGUUCGAAGAUUACAUUUGCACAAAAUAUCCACAACUCUCUGAUAAAGAAAUUUCUGCAAAAAGAGCGGAUGAAUAUCCUUCAUGGGUGAAAGAUUACGUUACUUACUGGAACACUACAAAUCCUUUUCCUAUUUGGGUUCAGGAUUUAGUUCACGGACCGGUCAAUAAAGCCAAAACCUGGCCGAUUUACUUUACGAGAGGAUAUUUGUUUCAUACACGGCACCAUGACAUGGGACGGAAGACAUGUAACUUUGGAGUGUGUGUUAAAGGAGAAAACUACACCGAUGCAUCUGAUGAAGCUGAUUUUUACGGGAUCUUAACUGAUAUCAUACAACUCGAGUAUGAGAGGAUGACAAAACUGAAAAUUACACUUUUCAAAUGUGAGUGGUAUGACCCUGUUAUUGGUAGAGGCACUCGAAGGAGCAAUGGUGGUCUCGUUGACAUUCUUUCAUCAAGAAAGUACAACAAAUACGAACCAUUUAUUCUAGGUAAAAAUGAUAUAAAUAUACAAAUCAAUACAUUUAAUGUAUUUAUUUUUUAAAUUAGAUUUGUAUUGUACAG
Long non-coding RNA from Eutrema salsugineum, 2401 nucleotides. RefSeq lists it as uncharacterized. Lineage: Eukaryota; Viridiplantae; Streptophyta; Magnoliopsida; Brassicales; Brassicaceae. The transcript is spliced from 5 exons. The record is from RefSeq and is a predicted model, not a curated record.